RNAcentral lists this ribosomal RNA (310 nucleotides) under uncultured bacterium. Its description in RNAcentral is "bacterial SSU rRNA". It matches the Rfam family "Bacterial small subunit ribosomal RNA", at positions 30 to 334 of the family's 1533-position model. The record is from RNAcentral.
AUUGAACGCUGGCGGUACGCUUAACACAUGCAAGUCGAACGGUAGCAGAAGCUAGCUUGCUAGCUUGCUGACGAGUGGCGGACGGGUGAGUAACGCGUAGGAAUUUAUCCUUAAGUGGGGGACAACCCGGGGAAACUCGGGCUAAUACCGCAUACUCCCUACGGGGAAAAGCUGGGGACCUUCGGGCCUGGCGCUUUUGGAGAAGCCUGCGUCGGAUUAGCUUGUUGGUAGGGUAAUGGCCUACCAAGGCGACGAUCCGUAGCUGGUCUGAGAGGAUGAUCAGCCACACUGGGACUGAGAUACGGCCCAG